GACGAACGCUGGCGGCGUGCUUAACACAUGCAAGUCGAACGGAAAGGCCCUGCUUUUGUGGGGUGCUCGAGUGGCGAACGGGUGAGUAACACGUGAGUAACCUGCCCUUGACUUUGGGAUAACUUCAGGAAACUGGGGCUAAUACCGGAUAGGAGCUCCUGCUGCAUGGUGGGGGUUGGAAAGUUUCGGCGGUUGGGGAUGGACUCGCGGCUUAUCAGCUUGUUGGUGGGGUAGUGGCUUACCAAGGCUUUGACGGGUAGCCGGCCUGAGAGGGUGACCGGCCACAAUGGGACUGGGAUACGGCCCAGACUCCUAAGGGAGGCAGCAGUGGGGAAUAUUGCACAAUGGGCGGAAGCCUGAUGCAGCAACGCCGCGUGCGGGAUGACGGCCUUCGGGUUGUAAACCGCUUUCGCCUGUGACGAAGCGUGAGUGACGGUAAUGGGUAAAGAAGCACCGGCUAACUACGUG
Molecule: ribosomal RNA, 468 nt
Filed under: uncultured bacterium
Lineage: Bacteria
Description: partial 16S ribosomal RNA
Rfam family: Bacterial small subunit ribosomal RNA
Source: RNAcentral